AAAACCACGAGUUUGAUCUUGGCUCAGAUUGAACGCUGGCGGUAGGCCUAACACAUGCAAGUCGAACGCGAAAGUCCUUCGGGAUGAGUAGAGUGGCGGACGGGUGAGUAACGCGUAGGAAUCUAUCCUGUAGUGGGGGAUAACGUUUCGAAAGGAACGCUAAUACCGCAUACGCCCCACGGGGGAAAGCGGGGGAUCUUCGGACCUCGUGCUAUAGGAGGAGCCUGCGUCGGAUUAGCUAGUUGGUGAGGUAAAGGCUCACCAAGGCGACGAUCCGUAGCUGGUCUGAGAGGAUGAUCAGCCACACCGGAACUGAGACACGGUCCGGACUCCUACGGGAGGCAGCAGUGGGGAAUAUUGCGCAAUGGGCGAAAGCCUGACGCAGCCAUACCGCGUGUGUGAAGAAGGCCUUCGGUUGUAA
Molecule: ribosomal RNA, 421 nt
Filed under: uncultured bacterium
Lineage: Bacteria
Description: bacterial SSU rRNA
Rfam family: Bacterial small subunit ribosomal RNA
Source: RNAcentral